Long non-coding RNA from Zalophus californianus (California sea lion), 3696 nucleotides. RefSeq lists it as uncharacterized. Lineage: Eukaryota; Metazoa; Chordata; Mammalia; Carnivora; Otariidae. The record is from RefSeq and is a predicted model, not a curated record. The transcript has 3 exons.
GCGCAGCUUUUUACAAGAAGUCACGGGGGGUAGGGGCGAAAGAGGGUGAAAACCACCCUGCGGUCCUGCCGCGGCGGGGAGGAAACCUGCCGCCCCAGAGCCACGUGCUGAAGCCGGCGCUGGGUGGGUGGCUGGCCCCGCCCCGGAGUGGCUUGGGGAAGGGGGGGGCUUGCUGGGAAAGGCUGCAGGCCAACUUCCCGGGGGAGGAAGAGAACCCCGGGGGGACAGCCUCGGCCCCGGGGCACCAGGGAACAAGGGUGUCUGGAGUAGGAGGUCCAGUUCCCUUCGAUGGGAGCAGCUCUGGCCUAGCUGGAAGAAAUGUACUGGCCUAACCUAACUUCCUCCCCUGACCCUGGUGGGAUGGGGUGGAGGCUGGAGACUCCCCCACACUUCACACCCUUCAAAGAGGAUGUAUGUCCCAGGGUUUCCAGAACCUCAGUAAAUAGAGGGUGGGUGGCGGUUUAGUGAAGGGGGUGGUGGUAGGAAGAUGGAAGGAAGCUGUAUAAAGAGGAAAGAAUUUUAAGAACAUGUGAAGAACAGCACUGGAUUCCUUGCGAAGGCAGAAGUAGCACAACAGCUGGGUGAACAAAACCCGCCCGGAUCUGUCCAGAGCUGUUUGUCAGCACAGCCUCGACAAGGACCCUGCUGAGAGCUCCCUUGGUAGGGGUUACCUCCUCCAGCAUUUCACAUUCUGAUUUCUCAUGGUUCUGCUUUGGACCCAGUUCAGUUGCCAUCUUCUCUGGGAAGCUCCUUUCUCCUGCCCCACGUUCUGAGUGCCCCUGGCUCAUGCAUCCAGGUAACUCUUACUUUGCUUUGUUUGGCCUCAGAGGUUUUGCUGAACUCAACUUCCCCCGCCACCCAGACAGAGGCCCACUGGGAGGCCCAGAGUUUCAUCUUUGCUGCUGCCCCUUGAUGGAACUCCUGAGGAAAUGAAUUAGCUGUGAACUUUGCCCUCCUCUGCCCAAUGCUUGGCCUCAUAGGCUUCCUUUGUGUCUGACUGGGCUUCCUUCUUGCUGUGUCUGCUUCCAUGAGAGCCUCAUCUCGGGUUUUGACCCAGCCAGCUCUUUGCUUGAUGGUUUAGCCCAGCCUCUGGGCCCCUGGUUCAUCAUCGUCAUUGAUUCCAGCGGCCAUUCAGCAGAAGUCUUUGCUCCUUCUCUUAGCAAUUGGAACGAAGGCAGAGGGUCAAUGGAAUUUAAGUGCAACUCACUAAAGCUAGCCCAUUGUGUGUACAUCCAUACUCAAGAAUACAGAUGGACUUCAUUAAAGCUAACAUGUCAUGUUACAUUCAUACAAAAUACAUUCAUAAUACAUACAAAAUACAUUCAUGUUACAUUCAUACAAAAAAUAUUAGGGGCUGUUUCCCCCUUCGCUCUUUUUUUUUUUUCCCUUGAGGGGCUAAGUCUCUUCACAAAACUUUUUCAAAGACCAUUAAAUGUAAGCUUCCUCAUAUGCCUUAGAGGGCUUACUUUUUUUUUUUUUUUCAACUUUUGGGGAAAAAAUACAUUGAAAGUGAGGUAUAAAAUCAAGAGAUGAAUUAGCAGAGAUUAGACUAUUUUCAGGGGUCAUGUAACAAAAUUCUAUAUUACUGCAGAUACCAGAAAAUUUGGCAUGAAACUGAGCUAAAUUAGGAAUAUCUGCCUCCAAAAGUUUGGCAUAACUCCUCAAAACAUCUGGCAUCCCCCGGUAGCAUUUAUCACUCCACUGAGAAUUGAACCUCCUCUAAGUCAUUCUUGGCCACAUUAUAGAGCAGAGGACAGUCCAGGACACUGUUAGAAAAUCUUGGCCUCUACCUCUGGCUCUGCCAUGGCUGAGCUCUGCUACCUUGGGCCACCUGCUGAUCUGCCUGAGCCUUGGUUUUACUUACCUGUAAAAUAGAGAUCAUUCCAUCCACAUCUUAGGGCCCCUGUGAGGACCCGAAGAAGUAAGAGACACUCAGUAAAGCCUUCUCAAGAAAGAGUAGCUUCAAGUGUUUCAGACUUUCUAACUGUAGAGGUAAACACUUCCUGAUAUAAUUUUCUUCCUAUGUAUAAUUUUCUCCAUUUGGGAUUCUUUAGGUCCAGGUUCUAUCCAGGGUCAAGCAGGUCAGCUUGAGAGAAAAAUGAGCUCUUUUUCAGAACCCACUGGAGAAAAGACCAACAUUUCUAGGAGAAGUAAAGAAUGUAAUAGCAGUACAAUCUACCAACCAAUCAUGGGUUAAGGGUCUGAGAGAAACCUGAUUAUGAACCAGUCUGAGGCCUAUCAGUGACAAAAAUGACCUUUGCCCAGACACUAGGCAUGUCUGAGCCACUGAACAAGGUUUUAAUCCAGGAGGUGUUGAAAGAGCCUAAUAAAUACUUAUUCCAUUGAGUAAAAUCCAAGAGUUUGAAGAAAAAUGUGAAGUUUGUUUUCUGUGCCCCUCUACCAUGUGAGAUGUGACUGAGGGAAAUUGGUAAACCAGACCCUCUAAUAGAUGCUCUGAUGUAUGAUGGGCCCCAGAGUCCCAUGCUGGGCCCUAGACUAUUGUUCCGGUGCACAGAAGCAGGAAAUGCUCCCAGGAAGGACAGAUUAACUGGCUGCACUGGACACCCUUCAGAAAGGGAGCAAGAACUGUCCUUUGCACCUCGGCCAUUUCUGCCCCAGCUGACACCAAUCCAGGGAAUAUAUAUAUAUAUAUUCAUUUCCUAGGAAUGCAUAACCAAGCACCACAGAAAUUUAUUUGCUUAAAGUUCUGGAGGCUAGAGAUCCGAAAUCAAGGUGUCAGCAGGGUCAUACUCUCUCUGAGACUCUGGGUAGAAGCCUUCCUUGUCGCUUCCUAGCUUCAGGUGGCAUUCCUUGGCAUGCAGCUGCGUCAUUCCAAUCUCUGCCUCUGUGAGCACAUGAUGUUCUCCCUGUGUGUCUAUGUCUUCACAUGGCAUUGUCCUCUUAAUAAGGACAUCCAUCAUAUUGGACAAAGGCCCACCCUAACUACCUCCUAACUUGAUUACACCUGCAAAGACUGUUUCCAAAUAAGGUCACAGGUACGGUGGAUUAGGACUCCACAGUAUCUUUUUAGGGAAAAUAAUUCAACCCAUAGCAUAAGGUAAGAAUGAUAUCUUUGCUGUCAGGCUGCCGCACAGGCCGAGGGGAUGGUCAACCCCGGGGGCAUUCUUCUCUACGCCUGCGAGGGGGCAAAUUGGAACAGCAAGUUGGCAGUCUCUUUAUCAGAAGACUUAAAAACAUUCAUAGCCUUUAAUCCAGUGAUCCACUUCUAGGAAUCCAGCUAUUGAAGUCAGCGAAAAUGUUGAUAAAACUUUAUGCGUAGAGAUAUCCAACUCAAUAUUGUUUCUAAUACUUAAUUAUCAGGAACAACUUCAACACCUAACACUUAGGGAUGGUUAUUAAGAUAAGUCACAUCCACAUGAGGGGGAUGUUAUAUAGCCUUAGAAAUGAUAUAUUCAGAAAAGAAAUAGUAAUAUGGGGGAAGUGAAGUAACGUGAUAUAUUCAGUAUGUUGUCAGCUUUAUAAAAAUUAUACAGAGAAGAAAAACACAACAUAAUGUUAAUAGUCCCACCCCUUACGGAGGGAUUAUGAGUGACUGUUAUUGUUUUAUUAUGGCAUUAUAUAUGUUCUCUGCAAUAGCUUUUUUUAUUUAUUUGAGAUUUUAUUUAUUUAUUUAAGAGAGAAAGAGAGAGAAUGAGCCCAAGCAGGAGGGAGACGGAGAAGCAGGCUUCCCGCCAA